AUCUACAGCCUUGCUACCCUGAACAAGCCAGAUUCCAUCUGAUCUCAGAAGUUAAGCAGGGUCGAGCCUGGUUAGUACUUGGAUGGGAGAAUACCUAGGAAGACCAGGUGCUAUAGGUG
Pteropus alecto (black flying fox) is the source of this 119-nucleotide non-coding RNA. Lineage: Eukaryota; Metazoa; Chordata; Mammalia; Chiroptera; Pteropodidae. The record is from Rfam.